RNAcentral lists this long non-coding RNA (7784 nucleotides) under Pelobates cultripes (western spadefoot toad). Lineage: Eukaryota; Metazoa; Chordata; Amphibia; Anura; Pelobatidae. The record is from RNAcentral.
CUUCAGUGGUAAGCUUAGCCAACAUACCACUUUACCUGUGAAAAUUGCUGCAGUAUGUUUUUUAUUUUUUUUAUUUAACAAUGUAUGUGGCUGCUGGCACAAACUUUCAUCUUACGGUGACAACAACCUCUGUUUUUCAGAAUAUUUAUCAUGGAUAGAAAAGUUGUAGCAAGAUACCAGAGAGAGCAGUAGCAGAUCCUCCAUCAUCACGAAUUUGAUGUAUUGAGGUUGCAGUGGUCUUUACCGCAGAGGUUUCAGUUGAUAUGACUUAUGCCCAAGAUAGAAACAUGUCCCUAUCUUUCUACUUGAAUGUUUUUUUUGGCUUAGGCAGUUGCCAACGAGCCUCUUCAAAAAUUAGUCUCUUCUAAAUGAAAGUCAUUUUUCAAGCAUUAUUUUUACCCCUUCAUGAAAAGGCGUUGCUGUCUAAGUUCCAUUCAAAAUAUAUUCUCAUUUCUUUUUAUAGAGAAAGCUUCAGGAGGAUGGUAGCCUUGUUUGAUAUUUCACAGGCUCUAUAGAUAUUCGAAUAUACACUAAUUCAAUAAGGAAGUUCUGUGGUCCAUUGGAAAGUGGCUUAUCCAGGUCAAUGGAGGAUGUUUAUAGUCUUGCAGAAAGCUUAUUUCCAGGUACCGUUUCACAUGCGAUUUGUUUUGGAGAAAAUAUAUUUUCAGUUCACAAAUCCUUUAGGUCUCAGUACUUUUCCACGGUAACUUUUUCAAAGUUCUGGAGAUCCUUUUAGCACAAUUAAGGAAAUAAGAGUAUAGCAAUCUACCUAUACCAGCACAUCGUCCUUAUCCUGACAGAGAGAGCUCUUUGUUAGCCAUUAACUACUUUGUUUUAGUUUCUACUUCCUCAUGGCUGGAAGAUCAGUUGGUGUUAUGUCUCUCCUCCCAGUCCAUGUCUUAUCUGGGAGCCACUUUUAAGAACUGAAAAAGGUAUUUUGACUUUCUCAGGACCGAAGGAAGACCUUUUGCAAAGGCAGAGCAUUUUGGUUAUCUAGGUUUCCGUAAAAGAAUGAUGUGUCUCCUGGCAUCCAUGUCUUCUAACAUAAGGCUGGUAUAUGGGCACAGUGGAGUAUGAGGUUAUUUCAAGGAAUUUCCUUCUUCAGUUCAGGUAUUCUUCUACAGCAAAUAAGGAUUACAUCCAUUGUAAUAAAGUCCUGAUAUAGUGCUUACUAAGAAAUCAGAUUUUUUUUUUACUGGGAGAGAUUCCUUGGUCUGCUUUUGCUGCAGAUGACAGUCAUUUGGAUUAAGGAUUGCAUCUUCAUAUCUAUUGUGCACAAGCAAUAUGCCUCUGUUUCCUCAGCCCAAUAUCUUGCAAUUUCCUAGAUCUACUAGCCAUAUUCGGAGCUUUGAAGCAUUUUCAGCAUCAAUCUUUUCACUCUGGUGAAGGUACAUGUAAUCUAUGUUGCAGUUUGAUGUAUUUUAUAAACAAGGGAACACUUGGAUUCACAAUAUGAUGAACUUCAUAUAAAACAGGUGACAUAGGCUAUUCAAGGUAAUUGUACACCAUGACAGAUUCCCUUAGUCCACUGAUAGUACACCUAAAAAUGUUACCUAUCAGAUGAAGCCUUCCAGAUGAUAGGGGUAAAUGAUAGCAUUGAUAGCGUGUGGAUCUUACAGCAACAAAUAUAUCUACAAGUUCUUUUCUAGAAUUUUGAUCCACAUGAUAGAGAUGCCCUAUAAUGCAUAUGGUGAUUCAUCCUGAAUUAUGCAUUUCCAGCACUUCUUUUCUGUUUCCUGUCCUGGAAGGCCAAGAACAUGUGCCCAUAAUCCUAAUAAUUUGACCUCCUAUUCUAGAGAUGCCCUAUAAUGCAUAUGGUGAUUCAUCCUGAAUUAUGCAUUUCCAGUACUUCUUUUCUGUUUCCUGUCCUGGAAGGCCAAGAACAUGUGCCCAUAAUCCUAAUAAUUUGACCUCCUAUUCUCCUUAAACUAGGCAUAGAAUUACAUGGGAUCAUCAGAGAAUUUCAGCCCUUCUCUACCAAUGACCAGUUCUUCAUCCAGACGUGCUAUCUCCAGAGAUAACUCUUUUUAAGCCAGGUUGUGUUUCACUUCUGCUGGUUUUUUUUUUUUUUUCUUGGUCUCUUCCUUAUCAGGUGGAUAAUCAUUAUCCUUCUACUUAGGACACACUGGUAUUCCUACAAUCUGGACUUUUCUAUGCCUGUGUUUAAAUUCUUUGGCAGCAUAUGUCUCAGCCCUUUCAACCCUCUAUACAUUAAGUGGAACUUUGAUAUCAACAUGACCAAAUUAUUAUUGUAAUUCUAAAUAUUUAUCCAUUGCUUCCCAUAGGAUCUACUUUUAAUAUAAGCUUUGAAGACAGCUGUGAAGACAUAUCGCUCAUCUUUUAAUUCUUUGUCUGCAUUACUCAACAUCUUCAUUUCUAUUAAGUGCUUCAGACAGAUGUAUAUCAGAGCUUGGAGUAUUAUCGUCUAAGGAUCUCAGAUGUUUUUCUGAUCUGGUCUCAAUGGGGUCUCCGUUUUUCAAUUUAGCAAGGAAAAUGUGCUCCUAUCCUUGUAUUUUUUCUUUUUGAUUUAAGCAAGGAAGUAGGGUGUUCUACAUUUGCAUUGGUUAACUCUUUUGGUUCUACUUUUAUAGAUCUUUUUAUUUUACUAUGUCAUAAAGUCUGUUUGUUUACCCUAAUGGGGCAGGUAAAGCAUCCAGCAUCUAAGUAAGCUAUCAGUAGAUGUAUUGUUGUUGCCAUUUUUUUUAUAUAAUCAGGGCUCCAGAGUUUUGGUUCCUGAAGGACUAAUGGAUCAUUUUUCUGGUUCUUUUAUGCCUCUUGGGCUUCCGCAGCUAGGUUUUCCUUAGUUCUGAUAUGUAGAGCAGCUUCUUGGACUUCUAUUAUCUCCCUCAUGACAUGACCAAUUAGAUGUCAGUGCUGGUCAAUUUGGUAAUCAUGGUAAGAGUGGUCUUCAGCAUGUGGCAAUAUAUAUACAUUGUUUUUAAUAAUUGCAUUAUGUCUUUGAUUAUUUUAUAUUAUAUUACUUGUAUUUGUUAAUUUUGGAGUCUGUGUAUUUUUCUCCCUCCCUUGGUUAUUGCUUGGGUAUUGCCCAUUGUUGUACUGCCAUAGAUAUGUCAGAUACCACCUGGUAUUUUGCUGAAACAAGACUGAAGGUGUGAGGGUAAGAAGGGGUAUUUAGGUUUCUGUCUAAUAAGGGAAAGUGAGGAGAUACCCAUUGUUGUGCUGCAAUGGCUUAUGACCAGGAAAUGAAAAUUACGCUAAGUAGGAAUACAUUUUCUGAUAUAUAAAGCAGAAGGUGUAAUUUAUUUAAAAAAAAUUAAAAUUGUAAAGAGUAGAAAUUCAAAUGAUGAUGGGGUUAUACCUAUAACCUGUCCAUUUUACUAGAUGUAUGAUGCUUAUUUCUCUUAAUAGCAUGCUUUGUAUGUUUAUAAGUGUGACUGCACCUUUUUAGAUGAGAUGUUAGUUGUCCUCAAUCUUUUAACUAGUUGCAUUAUAUGUUUUUCCCAUUUUGUAAUCAUGAUUAUAUACAAAGUGCAUGUUGAUGGCUCACCUGGAGAUUUUGAUUUUGGUUUUAAGUUAUAAUCACAUGCUAUUUACAGAAACUCAAAAUUCUGCUUAGGUCAGUUUAACAUUGGUAUAUAGGUGAUGAGGGCAGUAAUACAAAAUCUGGACUUCCUUGUGCCUCCGGAUGUCAUAACAUUUCUAAUAGUAAAGUGGCACACAUUCAUUGUGUCAACUACUUGCAACAAAUUAAUUUGUGUGAAUCAAGUGGUACUAAUCAUGUACUCUCUAGAUUAAAUCUACAUAGGUCAUUUAAAAAUUGAGGACAACAAUCUCAUUUUAUGUCAGCAAAAAAGAAUGGGAUACCCAAACCCAGAUGGUGCUAGGUACUAGCCAUUGCUUGUGCACUAAGGCUAUUUUAUGUCUCAACACUGUGUGAGUCACUUAUCUAGAUUAGAGGUAUGCCAAAGAUGCUACAUUGAUGCAAUGCAACAAGCUUCUAUGUUGGCAUAAUGAAAGGACUUUUUCACAAAGCAUAUUUUCACCCAUGUUAGGAAAGUUGGUAAAACGUUUUCAAAACCUAGGUUAAAUAUUUAACAUAUUUUGUCUUUUUAUAUAUGUGCAUAUUCUUAAUACAUAAUAGAUAAGAAAAAUGUUAUUGUGCCAACUCAUCUGAUCCUUUGGAUACUAUGGGUAAUUAACACUUAGGAAUGAAUUUUAACAUGGUAUAUUUUUAUCAUACAAAUCAUAACAAAAUGCUUCAGAAAAUUACAUACAGCAAAGGAUUGUUCACAUGGGCUAUCAGUAGAUGUCUGUUUCAACACCAAUUCACAAGCUUUAGUAUUCAUUUAUUUCUGAUAAGGUGUGGUUGAUGUAUGAAUUGAUGAUCUUGUUGUUGAAGACAAUAAUCACGUAAGGUCUAAUUAACUUACAAUGAGAAUCAUAUUGUCUUGGUAAUGUCAGGAAAUAAACCUAAAUUUUAAUUUUAAAGGGACACUAUAGUCACCAAAACAACUUUAGCUUAAUUAUGCAGUUUUGCUGUACAGAUCAUGCCCUUGUAGUCUCUUUGUUCCAUUCACAGCCAUUGAGGAGUUAAAUCAUUUGGUUUAUGAGCCCUUGUCACCAUAUCUUUCAUAAACACUUCCUGUAAACUGAGAUCUAAUGUUUAUACUUACUUUUUUCAAAUUGUGUUUAAUUUAGAAUGUCUUAUCUCCUGCUCUGCUAAUAGUUUGCUGGGUCCUGCAGGGGCCUCCUGUGUGUAAUUAAAGCUCAAUUUACAGAGCAAGAGAUAAAAAAAAACAUCUGGUUGAAAAUGAAACCAUUAUUUUCAUGUAGGAUGUCAGUCACAGAAAAGAGAGUCGUGGUUAGCACUGUAUAAACAGAAACAAAAGUGAUUUAACUCCAAAAUGGCAGAGAAUUGAGCAGUGAGACUUUAGAUGCAUGAUAUAUUCACAAAAACUGCUUCAUUAAGCUAAAGUUGUUUUGUUAACUGUAGCUUCCAUUUAAUAGGACUUUUUUCUGCCAGUAGAAACAAAGCACAAAGCAUUGCUCCUCCACUCAUAAAACUAGUUGGAUAUGAUAAUUUAUAGACCUUAUAAAAAUGACAAGCAGUACAGAAGUACAAAUACACAGAUGCGUAAUGCAGCCAUAUAUGUUACUUUUGUAUCUAGUACUAAAUCAUAGGCAUGAGAUCAAAAAGUAUAAACAAAAUGAGAAAUUCUACCUUGCUCCUUGUUCUUCUGUUUCACUUCCAUUUCCAGGAUCAAUAAAAUUGCUUUUAUUGAAAAGUAUUGCUGUUUUUUUUUUCUAAAUGUGAAGAUAAAUAUUUGUGCAACCACUUUUAUUUUUCUUCAUUUAACAAAAUUUAAAUUAAUUAAAAAAAGAAACACUUUAAAGGCCUAAAGCACAUUAUCUUGCUGAAGUGCUUUUUUUCAGUAGAAAUUGGCACUUCUAUAAAUAAACCUUGUUCCAACCCCUAUAUGUUAAUCAGACAACUGGUCCUGCUACUUCCUGGUUUGUUUAGCUCAGUGGAGCUGAACUCAAGAGGCAGCAAUUGCCCAGAGCACCUGCCUUACAAAGGCUUUUCAGUUGGCUGGGAAGAAGUGAAACGCUUGCAAAGGUUGCAUUCAAGAUUUCUACAGGAUUUUUUUCAGCUUUACCCCAAUGAAAAAAAGCAUUAUAAAACGCAUACAUGUUUUCAUUGGUGAUAUAUCUACUAAUCUGUGAUAUUUAAGCAAAAAAAAAAAAAUUAUUCAGCGGAGUGUCCCUGUAAGACAUUAAAGAAUUACCUGCUCUAAUGUAAUCAGAACCUUGAUCGAAUGAGUAUGUAAUAGUACAAUACAAUUGCAGAUAUGCUAUCAAAUUUAAUAAUAAAUAACUGAAUCCUUCCCUCUUAAAAACUUACAUAUACAUGUCUUUAAUGUCACAUUGCAAAACAAUGCAAAAACUAAAUGUAAUCCCUAAACGCCCAGUUACCUCCCUAUUCGUUCCAGUGUUGUUUUUCAACAUGCAGAGAAUUAAAUGUAUUUCUCAACCAGGGCCACGUUUAAAUUGAGAAUCUCUGCAAAGAGCAGCCACUUUCCUUAGCUCACAAUCUACAGGAACAUUUGUUAGUAAAAUUGUAUAGCUGCAUUCUAGCACUCAGAGAGAGAGGAAUAUAGCUAUGAGCACACUAAAGAGAUGUUCUCCCUCCUGAAAUAACAGCUUGUAAUCCCCUUGUUUUAACGUAUAUUUGGUGUUAUCUUAGUUUCUUGAUGCAUUUUGAGAAAACUGCAUUUUCAAAAAUACCAUCAUCUUCCCAAUAUAAAGCUAUUUCAAAACAGUGUAACAUUUAAAGUAAAGGCAGUCCAGGCACCAUAACAACUUUAUUGAGAUAAAAUUAUUAUAGUGACCGAAGGAAUCUUUUAAAGGAUAUCAUAUAACCGUUAAAACCUGUAUUUCACUAUAUUGAUGUAAGAGUAAACAAAUUAUAUAUUUCAUUGUCAUUCACACUGUCAAAGUGAUUUCACAUUAAAUUUCAAAGUUUAGGCCAAAAUAGCUAAUAUGUGAAAAAACAGAUGACUUGUAGAAUGUUUUCGACUGUUUAUGCCAUCAAUUUAGCAUUCAAUUUGAAUAUCCUUUGUAUUCCCGGAAAGUAAUACUUUGGUGAAAAGCCAUGCUUGUUUCCCCUUAUUUAAAGAUUGUACUAUGUACACGAAAUUGCAUAUUUUUUUUCUUUUUUUAAAUAAAUUGGUAAUGAAAGAGUUAAGUUGUCAAAAUUAAUUACUAGAGUGCGAUUGUUGCUUAUUCAGAAUGCAUUCAAAAUAGUUUAUCAGUUAUGCUUCAAGUUUGACUAAUUUGACCUGAAAUUUAGAUUUACUUGUGUGUAAUUAUAAAAAUAUAUUCUCUGUAUUCCCUUAACAGAAAUGUAUACAGUUGUUGUUACUUAAAAAGUAACUUGGUAGUGAUGAGGUUAACAGAGAACUAUUUAUUUGCAUAUCAAGUCAGAUUUAUAUGUCACAAACAAAAAAGAUCUGGCACAUUGAAAAGUUUUUUUCUCUUGAUCUACACAGAUGGUAAUAUUUAUAUUUUGAUUGCUUGAAUUGGUCUUCAAACAUCACCCGGAACACUAACUUACUUUAAAGUAGAGGUAUCUAGUGAAAUAUUUACUAUGUUCCAGCUUUGUUGGGAUAUGAUGUGUGUAAUGUCUUUGCUGUUAGAGACAGAACAAAAACAGUUUUGAUUUUCUUUGUUACAUUAAGUUUAAAUGUUGCCCAUGUGUUCAAACCUUUAAAACAAUAUAAUCUAUAUUUCAGUUCCUCUAUAAUAGCCUGUACAUAAACAAAUACAGCAUAUAGGAUUAAAAUGCAAUGCAUAAUACUUGGAAAUUGUGUCACUUUAGCAUUUGGCAUAUACAAUCCUUCUACCUUCAUUGCAUAUAAUAAAAUUCAUCUGGAAGCCAAAUAAAGUGUUAUUUCAUUUCUAAUUCCAUGGCAUUAUGUUUUCACAUACAGUUUGGACCAUUGCAAUGGAGGUUAUCUGGAAUUUGAAUGAAUACGUAGUCCAUUAUAAUUUUGCAAUGUAACAAGGAGCAAUGAAAUGAAUACAGUAUUUAAAAGUAUGUAAAGGCAAUAUGCAUUAUCUCAACAAUCCUAUUUUUGCUGCUAUUAAUGCCAGCGCUUUAAUCACAAUUUUUUGAUCAUGUUAUCACAAAUGAUGUAAUUUGUUUGCGCUGUAAAAGUGAAUAUGUCACUACUGUUGAAAAUUCAAGAUGUGAAACAAGCAUAAAAUAUAUAUAGUCCCUAUUAUACCGAGUCCUGGAAAUAUGUUAUGCUUAAAAAGUUUUG